AGGUGCGAGUGUAACGGGGAGUGCUGCAAGGGAAGGCCAUGUGAAGACACAGUGAGAAGGCCACCAUAUGCAAGCCACAAGGGAACUCUCACCAGAACCAACCCUGCUGACACCUUCAUCUUCACUUCUGGCCCCUAGAACUCAUAAAGUCAAAGGAGACCUGAGAAUUUGCUGCAACUUGGAAGUUUUCCUGGAGAUUCCACUGAGAUCCACUCUGCAUUGCCUGUCACUUUAACCAGGUAUGAUACUUACGGAAGCUCCUGUGCUUUGCCGCUGAGGCUUGUUGAAUCCAUGCCACUGCGGUAAGUCACUACUAUGUCUGAAUUGGCUCUUUUUGUAGAAGUUAGCUGUUUAUUCUCACUGUGGUAACAGGGUUUUGUUAUUGGGUCUCAUUUGUUUGGCAUCCUUGGUGGAAUCAAGCCUUUCGUUUUCAUUGCCUUUUGCUUUCUUUCGUGCUUCCAUUUUUUGUUGUGUGUCUAAAAGUGUUGUAAUGAGAAGGAGACUCACUGAAUAGAAUAUUAACAUGAACCCUUAUAGGGUAUAAGCCUGUUGUGCAAAAGCCAGUUUCACUGACCAUUGAAUUUAUGGUUUCUCAUCAAGCCAAUAUCCAUUUGGGAAAAAUGUUGUGUGUCAACAGUAAACCUGAUAAGGUUCUCCUACCAUCUUUAGUUUCUGAUUUGAGAGCUUGGCUUUGAGAGGUCUGAGAAUUUUCUGCUUGGGGAGUGGGUGCAGACUGUCAGGCCUGUGUUUGGAGGCAGUUUUUGAGCGAACAUUGCUAUGGGGUUGUCUAAGCCUAAAUCAUCUCUUUUCGUUGGAAAGAUUUCUGCUUCUUAUGGGUGCCCUCUAAGUCUUCUACCUAUUUCUCUAAAGGCAUACCUUCACUGAGCUUGAUUUGAGUUUCAGUGGCCAUUCUGGGGAACAUUUGAUUUGAAUACAAUUGUUCAUUUGCUGUUUUUGCCACCAGCAUUUAUGACCCCAGAGACAGCCAUAACUGGCCCCUGUCUUCCCAGGAGACCCUCCAAGACCAGCAGAUAGGUUUGGUCCUGUCUCCUAUAAAGUCACCACCUUUGCCCUGAUCCUCAUGGGCAUGUAAGCUUGUGUUUGCCUGCUAAGAGUAGAGGCUCUGUUUCCCCCAGUCCUGUGAGCUCCUGCAGUCAAACCCCACUGACCUUCAAAGCCAAAUGCUCUGGGGGAUCCACCCCCUGAUGCUAGACUCCAGGCUGGAGAGUCUGACAUUGGGCUCAGAACUCUCACUCCUGUGGGAGAACUUCUGCGAUUCAAUUAUUCUUCAGUUUGUGGGUUGCCCACCUUGGGAGUAUGGGAUUUAAUUGUAUUGUGAGUGUGCCCCUCAUACUCUCUUGUUGAGGUUCUUCUUUAUGUUUUUGAAUGUGGAAUGUCUUUUUGUUAGGUUUCAGCCUUUUUAAAUUGAUGGUUGUUCAGCAGUUAGUUGUGAUUUUGUUAUUCUUUGGAGAGGAGGUGAACACAAAACCCUUCUAUUCUGCCAUUUUGUCUCCAAUCUCCAACUGUUCAUUUGAGAAACACCUUAUAAAGAGAAUAUUUUUCAGGCCCAAUGGGAAGCAUUUUUUAACCAGUAACAGCAGCUUCCAAAUAAAAUUCUCAUCAACAAUUUCUUCACUAGAAGAUUUUUUGGCCAACGCUAAUGAGCAAUUUGACAAGCUCAUGUAACAAAAAAUAAGACUUGUCUCCCAGGUAAAUGCUCCCCAUCCUUGUCCUCCAGUUCCUAUCACUAUCCAAAUAUUCCUCUUCUUUUUUCCCUUCUGAUUUCUCCUUCGAUACCUCUUUUAACUCCUCCCUUCUCUUUCUCUUGUUUGAUCACCUAAUUCUUUUAAGAAUCCAAACUCUAGUUUCCUGUAAAGAUCUAUCCCUCCAUGGGUCAAUCAUGUAAGCAAGUGUAGACUUUAAACUAUGGAACCAAUCUAUAUCAAAGCUAUAACUGAGGAUUUCCCUGAAGCAACAGACCAGCAAACAUUCAUGGAAAAAUUUCAAAUUCUUUGAAGUGCAUUGGAACCUCAAAUGCUAAAUUGGUAUUGCAAAAGGUGAUUGAACUGACCUAGAAAAGGAACCAAAAGAUCCUUCCUUCCAUAGUAAACUUGAGAGUUAAAAAAUGCAUGCUUCCCAAUAGAGGAAAGUUUCCUAAAAGCCAUGCUCCAAAUAUUUCCAGUAAAAAUCAUUUGAAGAUCUGUUGCAUAAUAAUGUGAAUGUAGUUAACACUACUAAACUUUACACUCAAAAAUGAUUAAGAUUAUUUCAUGUUAUAUGCUUUUUUAACCACAAUUAAACAUUUAAAAAAAUUAAAAAAUAUUAAAAUUUGGUUGAACUAUAGUUUAAUCAUGGAAACUGAAAAGAAAUAAUAGGAGAUUUUUAGAAAGAUUAGAAAAUACCUUCUAAAAAUAUUUGGGAGUUAAAGAAGGGACAGCCCUUUCAUUUCAUUUUGACAAUGGAGUUAAACAUGAAAAUGGAGAUCUAAUUUAGAAACAAAAUUGGGGCGUUCUCAUGUGGCUCAGUGGGUUAAGGUUCCAGUGUUGUCACUGAAGUGGCUCAGGUCACUGCUGUGGCAUGGGUUCAAUCCAUGGUCCUGAGAAGUUCCACAUACACUGUCCCCCCCCCCCCGCCCCCCGCCCCUGAAAAAAAAAACAAAACAAAAAAACCUAAGUUGGAAUGGUAAAUAAUCCCUUACACCUGACAGAACAUUUUGAAAGGGCUUUAGAAAAAAACAAGCUGGAAGGAGUUCCCGUCGUGAUGCAGUGGUUAAUGAAUCCGACUGGGAACAAUGAUGUUGCGGGUUCUAUCCCUGCCCUUGCUCAGUGGGUUAACGAUCCGGCGUUGCCGUCUGUAGGUUGAAGAUGCGGCUCGGAUCCAGCGUUGCUGUGGCUCUAGCAUAGGCCGGUGACUAUAGCUCCGAUUAGACCCCUAGCCUGGGAACCUCCAUAUGCCGCCCGAGUGGCCCAAGAAAUGGCAAAAAGACAAAAACAAACAAAAAAUCAAGCUGGAAGCCAAAAUAAACUUAAGGUCCUGUAGGUCAAAUGGUUAGGUAGUCCACUGUCAGACUAACCACUUGUUGAAAAGGACACUAAUAGAUAUUUAUAAAUUGAAAUGACCCUGGGAAAAAAGGCAGUCCCAUCCAACCAAAGAAAAACCAAGGCAAAGAAAAAUUAUUUAAUUCAGAUGAAUGAGGGGUGUUUCAAGGAAGGAAAAAGAGCUCAAUAUUUUGCCUUAACUUUAAACAUUCAGAGUGAGUUAAAUAUAAAGGUAGAUGGUCCACCUCAUUAAUUACUGGUCGAUAUGGACACUCCUUUUUCCACACUAAACUCUGCCAUGUGUGCCUAACUGCUUCCUGAGAGUAAAAGUACCACUCAGAUGGUAGGUAUUUCAAAUAAACAGAGAUGUUCCCUACAUCUGAACCCUUACUCUAAUCCUCAGGCCCUUGACUAAAAUUAUGCCUUCCUCUUCUGUGAUACCACUCCUGCAAACUUAAUAGGGAAUAAUUUACUUUACAAAUGAGACUGUAAUAUUAAAUACACAGCAGAGGGACCAUUUCUUGAGGACACUCCUAUUUGUAAUCAAACUGUGUCUUCUUUGGAUAGUCCUUUGUCUUCUCCAUUAUAUUUGAUAUGUUCCCACAGACAAAGAUCUUUACACCAUACCUGACACUAGGAGCUAAAAUUUCAGCUGACAUAGGAAAAAUAAUAGAAGUAGAACCCAGCAAAGUUCAGAUAGAUCCUACCAAACCAUUAUCCAAACUUCCCCAAUAUUUCUUGAAGCUGGAAGCAAAAGAAAGGAUCAAACCUAUAGUUAAAAGGUUGAUAUACAAAGAUCUUAUACUACACAAUAGCCUUUGUAACACUCUUGUCCUGCCAGUUAAGGACCUAGACAGAGGAGGAUGUUGAUUUGUUCAGACUUCAGCACCAUCAGCAAAAUUGUUAGCCUUUGGUUCCUGAUAGUUUCUAAUGUAAAUACUAUCCUGUCGUUAACUCUACUUGAAGCUACUUGCUUUACCGUAUUGGAUCACGGCUCUGCCUUUUUCAUUGUGGCUUUAGAACAGAAUAGGCAGUAUCUUUUUGCCUUUACCUGAGUAGGACAGCAAUAUACCUGAGCAAUCAUAUCCCAGGGUUUUUUCCUCAAAUCAAUACUUAAAGAUUAAACCUCCCAUGUGAUUCAUUUGUAAGAAUAUGUGGACGAUCUACUUUGUUCAGAGAACAAGUAAACUUAAAGUAUUCAAUUUACAUUCUCUCAGCCCUAGCAAAAAAGGGACAUACAGUCACAAAUGACAAAUUUUGCUAAAAUAUAGUUUGUUAUUUAGGGUAUGGCCUAUAUAAUGAGGGGAAAGAACACUAUCUCCUGUUAGACUAAAAACAAUCUAAACUUAACCUAGAUGCUUUAAAAAAUAACUAUAAAGAUAAUUCCACAUUUAAGUGGAUAUUAUAGACAAUGGGUGCCAAAUUUUACUGAAAUUGUAACACCCUUUUAGGUGUCGAGUGAGUCUAUAUUAGGAAACUCUAUUUUCAGAGAGCUCAGACAUUAACAGGCCUUCUAUAACCUAAAAAAGGGCUCUUGAACAACUUUACUUAGACAUCACUGACUACAAAAACCACUUUUGUCUAUUUGUGCAAGGUAGACAAGCAUUUGCAGUUGUAACUCCCUUUCAUGGGAACUACCAGUUACUGUACCCUCACUCCUGAUAUGAUGACUGCUGCUGUACGACUUUGGCUUCUGCUGAACUAGAUCUGGGUUCCCUGUUUGACUUCUUGGUUUCUCAUGUGGUACAGCCAUUACCACUGGCUGAGAACACAAAACACUUUUCAGCCAGCCAGUUAAUUUUUAUGAAAUUCUUUCACUUUCCCCCCCUCACAUUAUUAUUCUCCACUGCAAUACCCUGAUCCCACCACUGUCCAGUUCCUACCAGA
Molecule: long non-coding RNA, 4925 nt
Filed under: Sus scrofa (pig)
Lineage: Eukaryota; Metazoa; Chordata; Mammalia; Artiodactyla; Suidae
Description: lncRNA (ENSSSCG00065015778.1)
Source: RNAcentral